GUGUCAGCCGCCGCGGUAAGACAGAGGAGGCAAGCGUUAUCCGGAAUUAUUGGGCGUAAAGGGUCCGCAGGUGGCAGUUCAAGUCUGCAGUCAAAGGUCGGGGCUCAACCCCAGAAAGGCUGUGGAAACUGAACAGCUAGAGUACGGUAGGGGCAGAGGGAAUUCCCAGUGUAGCGGUGAAAUGCGUAGAGAUUGGGAAGAACACCGGUGGCGAAAGCGCUCUGCUAGGCCGAAACUGACACUGAGGGACGAAAGCUAGGGGAGCGAAAGGGAUUAGAUACCCCUGUAGUCCUAGCCGUAAACGAUGGGUACUAGGCGCUGACCGUAUCGACCCGGUCAGUGCCGGAGCUAACGCGUUAAGUACCCCGCCUGGGGAGUACGCUCGCAAGAGUGAAACUCAAAGGAAUUGACGGGG
This 415-nucleotide ribosomal RNA is filed under the name uncultured prokaryote. RNAcentral describes it as "bacterial SSU rRNA". It matches the Rfam family "Bacterial small subunit ribosomal RNA", at positions 505 to 918 of the family's 1533-position model. The record is from RNAcentral.